Molecule: long non-coding RNA, 1181 nt
Filed under: Homo sapiens (human)
Lineage: Eukaryota; Metazoa; Chordata; Mammalia; Primates; Hominidae
Description: novel transcript
Source: RNAcentral
AGAGGCCGCCACUUUCUUCAGGGCUAUCAGAUGAAGGCAGCAACGAAAACACCACCACAAGACCAACUUCAGGCUGGAGCUGAUGAUGCCACACAGCAAAUCAGCGAGAAAAAAGAAAAUAGACUCUACUUAGAAAUGAAACUCAACUAAAGGUAAAAGUUGUCAGGAACAUCUCCAAGAAAGCCAGAGUCAGCCUCUAAACUUUGCAUCAAGAACGCAAUGGCUUCCCUGAGGGCCCAGGGACGCGUGGCAGCUGUGAGGCAGCCCCUUCUCUGCUGUCGAGGAACUGGACACUUCUCCUGUCCCUUCCCACAAGAUAUAAAAGAUUCAGGACGUAGUGCUCGUGGUUGGGGUCGGGGACAUGGCAAGACAGGAGCGGAAGAGAGAGACGGAGAAGACGCAGGGGAACUGCAUCUGCCUCUGCUGCUCAGGAACAGCGUUGAGACCGGCGCAGGGACCAUGGGUGGGAGAGUCCUGAUGUACUCAAUGGGCUUCCUGGAGCUCCUGCAACCCCAGGCAUUAGUUCCGGUGCAGUUCUAGGAUCAGAUCAAUUCACUCGACAACAAGAGAAACAAAUGGAGAUUCCUACACAAAGACUUUCAAGCACAAAGAAAUCCUGCUGCCUGUAAAGCGGAGCUGCCUCAGCCCUUGAUGAACGACAGAAAAUCUCACAUUCCAGGAAUUCAGAUGAAGUGAAGUGCUCUCAUGGGGACCAGGCAUGGUUAUGCCAGUCCACUGCCCUGCAAGCCUCAAGGGAAGCCAACUGCCCUUCAGCAAGUCACACCUGCCUUGGUGGAGGCCUUGAUUGGAAGUGCCACACGCUACAUGUCCAGUCCUGAGCGGGAGAAUCGGUGUAGGGACGUUCUGGGGAUGCCAGCUGUGGCCAGAUCAGGUCCAACUACAGAAGAAUAAUGAAGACUCCACCUGAGGGCUGGAAAAACAAAACCUCAAGUGUGAGGCAGCCAACCUGUUACCUCGAGGGACUGUUCCGCAGCACAGCGGGGCCAUGGGAACAGCAGCAGACACCCCGACCUCCUCGCUACCUAUCAACUAUGGCCUGAGUAUGAUAGACUUAUCCAUGGUUUAAACAGAAUAUAUUGUUUUCAACUUUGAAAAUAAGAAUAUGGAAAUCCAGAUGCAGAAAUGUGAGAAGAAAAGAGAGUAAACAGAGUGGAAGGUCA